AAAAUUUUGACGUUUUAUAUGAAUUGUGCUGUGUUGAGCAACACGAACAAAGUGGCUCCGGGUGGAACUGUUUGCUUGAAUGUCGGGCUAUGUCCUGAAGGAUAACAUUGCAUAAAGACGCAAUAAGAAGGUAUGUGAGUGAAGGACUAAUCGAAAUGAUAUAGCAGUCCAACCUAAUGAUGUAAAUUUCCUAACCAGUGAAGGAGAUAGCGAAUAAGAGCAACAUAGUGAUAACGGACUGAAGAUCGGAUUGAAGCCAUUUUCUUCUGCGGACGAGGAGCGUGGUGACUGGUGUGUUGACAUCAUGAAUGUGGGCACGGCUCACAGCGAGGUGAACCCCCAACACGCGGGUGAUGAACAGCCGGCUCUCAACAUCUGACUCUCCUACCUCCUGGGCAUCGGCCUGUUGCACGUCACCCUGCUCAGCAUCCCCUUCGCUAGCGUACCCUCAUCAACAUCAUACACAACCUGGAACUCCAUUUGAGACUCCCGACCAGAGCAAGGCCCGCUUCUACACAUACUGGGAGCAGAUUGACUAUUGGUGUCCAGUUUACUGCCUCACGCAAGUUCCUCACCAUCACCCCCAUCGUCCUGUUAGGACUCCCUACAGUACCAUACUCUGCACUGUUUUAUGUCAUUACUGUUUUAUACUUAUAAACUAAUAGUCUAUUUACUACUUAGAAACCCUUUAUAAAGUAUAAUUCAAUGCAAAGUGGCUACAUUGGUAUUUAAGGAGGAAAAGGACUGACAAGUGAAACCUAUUCUUUAAGCAUUGUUUGUUUCCCUGCUGUCCUUGUUAAUGACUUCAGUGUCCUCCCAGCAGCCUCUUCCAUCCAGUCUGUGGGCAGUGGGAGUCUGGACUGUUGUGGUGCCUGCUGUGCUUGCUGGCAGUGAAGGCCCUAGUCCUUCAUUCUUUCUUGGACCUACCCUUACCUUCUCUCCCUCCUACAUUCUUCCUCUCCCCCUAGCUACAACCUCACCAGCUUCUACACCAAAUACGACCAGGACCACUUUGUGGUCAACGCGGUCUCCCUGAUGACUGUGCUCAUUCCCAAGCUCCCCCAGCUUCACGGAGUCCCGAUCUUAUGGGAUUAACAAGUACUGAUGGGACGGAAGGGGACACCGCCAUCUCCCUGUGGACUGUGAGCACAGAGUAUCAGGCCCCGGCCCCAUAGGGAUGCAUGGUCCCGCUCUGUCUCCCAAUGCUAUUUGAGCACAAUGCUAAAUGAAGCCUAUGGGGGAUACACAAGACAAAAACUGUAACACAGAGGCAGAAUUGAUUUACUGUAACUGCACAGGGCAGUUCCUAUGUGUUCCCAUUGAAGCUGUGCUGUGGCGUUUAUUUGUGGUUCUCUUCAUGUCAGAGCUGUUUGAAUUCACAGAGAACACUGCAAGGGAGGCCUUUGAGGACAUACAGUAGUAUGAAAUGUUUUUAGAUCCAGUUACAACGUGGAGAGGAGAGAACUCUGAACGGUUUGGUCCUGAGAGAAAUGAGACGGAGACAUUUUGCACCCAGGGGGACAUUUUGAAAGUUAUGGCACUCCGCUAUGGACGAUGCCCUCUAGAAUUACAACUCUACCUUUAUUUUGCAUCUGUUCCUCAAAAGGCUCAUCUUCUCUUUGUGUCUUAAGAAAGGACAGAUAGCUAGAGGGAGGGUUAGCUCGGGAGUUGCUCUGACUGUCGCAGUGGUCAGACAAGAGGGAACAACAGAAUGACGGUUUGUGCUGUUUGUGCCGUCAUUCUUUUACCAAAAUUCGCACCUGCACUGUUCUUCAAGUAAAUGUGGUUUUGUAUAAUUUUAAGUGUACAUUUUUAAAAGUAGUCCCGGUGUAAAACAUGUUAAUGUACUACUUAAGUAGUUUUUUGGGGUAUCUGUACUUUAUUUUUGCUUUUACUUCACUACAUUCCUAAAGAAAAUGAUUUACUUUUUACUCCAUACAUUUUCCCUGACAGUAUGUGUUACAUUUUGACAGGAAAAUGGUCCAAUUCACACACUUAUCAUGUCACGUUCUGAUCUCCGUUCCUUUGUUUUGUCUCUGUUUUAGCACAGUCAGGGCGUGAGUUGGGGUGGGCUGUCUAUGUUCCUUUUUCUAUAAUUUGGGAUUUCUGUGUUUGGCCUGGUAUGGUUCUUAAUCAGAGGCAGCUGUCAAUCGUUGUCCCUGAUUGAGAACCAUACUUAGAUAGUCUGGUUUCACUUUUGAGUUGUGGGUGAUUAUUUUCUUUUCUGUGUUUUAUUUCACCGUUCAGGACUGUUUGUUUUGUCGUUUUAUUGUUUUUGUUUCAGUGUUCACAAUUAAUAAACCAAGAUGAACACUUACUACGCUGCGCUUUGGUCCUCUCCUUCAUACGACGACUGUUACAUAUCAAGAGAACAUCCCUGGUCAUCCCUACUGCCUCUGAUCUGGCGGACUCAAUAAACUCAAAUGCUUCGUUUGUAAAUUAUGUCUGAGUGUUGUAGUGUGCCCUUGGCUAUCCAAAAAUAAAUAAAA
This is a long non-coding RNA of Oncorhynchus keta (chum salmon), 2489 nucleotides long. RefSeq lists it as uncharacterized. The transcript has 3 exons. NCBI's taxonomy places the organism in Eukaryota, Metazoa, Chordata, Actinopteri, Salmoniformes, Salmonidae. The record is from RefSeq and is a predicted model, not a curated record.